Echinops telfairi (small Madagascar hedgehog) is the source of this 1833-nucleotide long non-coding RNA. RefSeq lists it as uncharacterized. The record is from RefSeq and is a predicted model, not a curated record. The transcript has 4 exons. NCBI's taxonomy places the organism in Eukaryota, Metazoa, Chordata, Mammalia, Afrosoricida, Tenrecidae.
UGCCCACAGAUAAGAAGUCGUGGCAGAGAGACAUUUCUGACAGGGGCUGAUGGUCUCCACAGGAGCAGUUCAGGAUCUGACCCUGGAAGAUGAACACUCAGAGUCGGCUUCGGCAUUAUCUGAAAAUUCAAUGCCAAAGAGGUGGUUCACAAAGCUGCAAACGAAAUUUCAAGAAGAUUCUCAAAGGCAGAAGCAAGGAUUCCGUGUCCCUUCUCCUCUCCCAACCUCACCUAAAUGCUGGGAAGACUUCCUAGGAAAAGGUAUCCUUUCUGUAUGCGGAGAAAGUUGGUGGCCAGUUGGUGACCCUGAGCAGAGGAGAAGAAAGCAGCUCAGUGUCCCUCAUCACAGCUUGGGCUGCCAGCUGCCUUCCUGGUUUUCCACAGACGGAAGGGCUGGGACUUGAAGACCAUAACAAAAUCACAGCUGUCAGGACGCAUCAGACUUCUGUUGGACAGGCUCCGAGUUUCUCACCGAUCCUCGGGAAAAGGAACAUAUGAAACGGAGAAAAGGGUUCAGUAUGCGAUGUAGCAGGGAGCCAAUGCAAAACCAACCUGUUCUAAAGCUGCUUUUGUCCUGUAAUAUAUUAUCCAAGCUGCUUUUCUUUCAUGAGAAUGCAUGGUGGGGAGAGGGGUAUUGCACAUUGUAUUUUACUGCAUGAUUCACUUUCUUUCCAUUUUAACUUUAAUUCCAUCUAAUUACUGUAUUGUGAUCUCAGUCAGCAAUAGUAAAUGAACGCUCAAGUAACUUUUGAAGAAUCUUGCUACGAAUGUUGGAUAAUGAUGAAAUGCAAAUUGCUACAGGUUAUAUUGUAUAAUGUCUACCGUGUAUUCAAGCAGUUUUCUUGUAAUUUUCAAAUUUCAGGUCACCGUUUUGCUAUUUUCUUGCUUUAUUUUUUCCCCCCACCUACAAUGUAUUAACGCCACCACCCAGCUCCACUGUGACCCAAAACAAAAUAAGCUUGAGCAAGAAUCUGUACCCAGUGAAAAUGCUGCCUAGUUAUCAAGAAUGGAAUUCCUUCUGUUUGAUUUUUAAUCCUAUGAUUGACUCACAGCCUAAAAAAAAAAUCGGUGAAGUUGCAGUUUGGUCAAAGCAUGUAAGAACACUUGGCUGCAUUUUGAACUCGUUUUGAUGAAGUAUUUGAAAGUACCCUAUAGUAACCUUUUGUAUACAAGACUUCGACACCUGCAUUCAUGGAAAUUGUCUUUGGCCUUUUGACAAGGGCGACAGAGAAGAGAUUGCUCUGAAGAGCAGUGUUUUAAUAAAUUCAGUACAAUGGCAACAUACAAAUAUUGCAAGCAUACAUGUUCUAUAUACACACAUUCUAUUUUUUCUAAAUCUACUUUGAGGACUAUAUAAUUAGUUAAGGAACAAUUCAACAAUAAUGUGGGGUAUUAAGAAUGAAAAUUAAGCUCUAUAGUUAAAUUAUCCAUCAAACAUGGAAAUUAUCAAUAUGCAAUUGGAACACUUGGUAGGAUCUCAAAAAGGAUAGGGCACAGAGAGAUGGGUUUGUGGAGUUUUACUUGGCACCUUUGGUGAAAAUGUAUGGGAGUGUUGAAAAUGCCUCACAGGAAAUUUUAAGUAAAAUUAAAAAUUUUUUCUUUUAACAUAAAAGGACCUGUCUUGUUGCACAUUAUUAAUAUGUUGAGGCACUGUACUAGUUUGGAUCCAUUACACUACAGGAAAAAGAAAAUGUUGUAAAAUACCAAGAAUGAUUAACUUUUGGUGGGUAAACUGAUGGAAAUGACCGAUUCUUUGGAUUAUGUCCUUGAAAAGUACUAUUUGAGACUUCUGUUCAAAGAAGAGAAAAUAAUAAAAACAAUAUUUAUUCUUUAA